Cyprinus carpio (common carp) is the source of this 911-nucleotide long non-coding RNA. RefSeq lists it as uncharacterized. The transcript has 2 exons. Lineage: Eukaryota; Metazoa; Chordata; Actinopteri; Cypriniformes; Cyprinidae. The record is from RefSeq and is a predicted model, not a curated record.
UGUGAGGUGUGAAGCCCUGGAUAUAGUGUAGAACGACAGCUGAAAGAUGUCACUAUUUAUCAUUAUGGAAAUCUGACGGACCCUUGCUGUGACUCUGACAGUUUGGGUGAAAAAUAAAUAAAUAACGAAACAGGAGAGGAAGGAGUAUGUUUUAAAGUAUGGCUCCAAAUUGGUAAAAGAGGCAUGACGUUUCCUUUGCCUUGGGCAGUUGGCCUGGGUACACUGCAGGUGCUCCAAGGCUAAAUUUUCCCGUGGUAUCCACUUGUGUUCUAUGUACCCAGUUGACUCUACGUCAGCUCUCGCAGUUAUUAAGAGGUAGCCCAAACACAUGCCCAUGUCCACAUGUCCAAAGUAAACUCGUGAAGAGCGACUGGAAUCUUAUAUCAUGGAUAGAUUGAGACUGGAAUCACAGGUGGUCAUGCACUAACCUAAUACAGGAAGGGCAUCUGCUCCUCUUUCACUCUGUAGGCCGAUGUCCAUCUUUCGCUGGCCUCCAGCACCUAUACGUGGCAUAUCAGAGGGAUAUUUAAGCUACAAGUCCAUCACCCCAAAACCAGAACAGUUUUCAGUUGAAAGGUUUCUUACCAAAGGAGCCAUAUUACUAUAGCCCAGCCGACACUUCUGCCGUGGUGAGCAAGGAGCAUCCAUCUGCAAGAAAACGACAUCAGAAAUAUCUCCAGUUUUCAUGCACAUGUUGGUUUUACUUUAUCUGUGAGAACAUCUCAUAGAUGCAACUGUUUGUAUACAGAGGUCAUGAUAUUUGCUACACUCCAACCCAAACUCUAAACCUAAACCUUCACAAAUCUGGUGACAUCAUGAAAACAUUAUAUCAACCUUUUAAUUAAUGAGGGCCACUUCAAAUGUCCACGAAGUCAAUUUCCAACAUAAUUCACUAUAUAUCGUUAAGGACA